GGAAGUAAAAGUCCGUAACAAGGUUUCCGUAGGUGAACCUGCGGGAGGAUCAUUAAUGAGUUGUCAUGGGGUUCGAUGCUGGCAGCCAAUUUUUGGAUGCAUGUGCUUGCCCUAACAAUCAUCUUCCAAACACCUGUGCACAUUUUUGAGGGAGUCUUGAGUUGGUUGCCGCUCUUGGGUGAUUUUCUCACAUUCCCUUAAAUCAUUAUACGCUAUUAACAAUGUUGAACGUGCUCUGUGCCGCAAGGCUAUUAAUAUAAUACAACUUUUAACAACGGAUCUCUUGGCUCUC
RNAcentral lists this unclassified non-coding RNA (292 nucleotides) under plant metagenome. RNAcentral describes it as "partial contains small subunit ribosomal RNA, internal transcribed spacer 1, and 5.8S ribosomal RNA". The stretch from base 1 to 55 matches the Rfam family "Eukaryotic small subunit ribosomal RNA", at positions 1778 to 1831 of the family's 1831-position model. The record is from RNAcentral.